This 1159-nucleotide ribosomal RNA is filed under the name Salmonella enterica subsp. enterica serovar Typhimurium. RNAcentral describes it as "partial 23S ribosomal RNA". It matches the Rfam family "Bacterial large subunit ribosomal RNA", at positions 1 to 1199 of the family's 2925-position model. The record is from RNAcentral. Lineage: Bacteria; Pseudomonadati; Pseudomonadota; Gammaproteobacteria; Enterobacterales; Enterobacteriaceae.
GGUUAAGCGACUAAGCGUACACGGUGGAUGCCCUGGCAGUCAGAGGCGAUGAAGGGCGUGCUAAUCUGCGAUAAGCGCCGGUAAGGUGAUAUGAACCGUUAUAACCGGCGAUACCCGAAUGGGGAAACCCAGUGUGAUUCGUCACACUAUCAUUAACUGAAUCCAUAGGUUAAUGAGGCGAACCGGGGGAACUGAAACAUCUAAGUACCCCGAGGAAAAGAAAUCAACCGAGAUUCCCCCAGUAGCGGCGAGCGAACGGGGAGGAGCCCAGAGCCUGAAUCAGCAUGUGUGUUAGUGGAAGCGUCUGGAAAGGCGCGCGAUACAGGGUGACAGCCCCGUACACAAAAGCGCAUGUGCUGUGAGCUCGAUGAGUAGGGCGGGACACGUGGUAUCCUGUCUGAAUAUGGGGGGACCAUCCUCCAAGGCUAAAUACUCCUGACUGACCGAUAGUGAACCAGUACCGUGAGGGAAAGGCGAAAAGAACCCCGGCGAGGGGAGUGAAAAAGAACCUGAAACCGUGUACGUACAAGCAGUGGGAGCACAGGUUUACCUGUGUGACUGCGUACCUUUUGUAUAAUGGGUCAGCGACUUAUAUUCUGUAGCAAGGUUAACCGUAUAGGGGAGCCGGAGGGAAACCGAGUCUUAACCGGGCGUUAAGUUGCAGGGUAUAGACCCGAAACCCGGUGAUCUAGCCAUGGGCAGGUUGAAGGUUGGGUAACACUAACUGGAGGACCGAACCGACUAAUGUUGAAAAAUUAGCGGAUGACCUGUGGCUGGGGGUGAAAGGCCAAUCAAACCGGGAGAUAGCUGGUUCUCCCCGAAAGCUAUUUAGGUAGCGCCUCGUGAAUUCAUCUCCGGGGGUAGAGCACUGUUUCGGCUAGGGGGCCAUCCCGGCUUACCAACCCGAUGCAAACUGCGAAUACCGGAGAAUGUUAUCACGGGAGACACACGGCGGGUGCUAACGUCCGUCGUGAAGAGGGAAACAACCCAGACCGCCAGCUAAGGUCCCAAAGUCAUGGUUAAGUGGGAAACGAUGUGGGAAGGCCCAGACAGCCAGGAUGUUGGCUUAGAAGCAGCCAUCAUUUAAAGAAAGCGUAAUAGCUCACUGGUCGAGUCGGCCUGCGCGGAAGAUGUAACGGGGCUAAACCAUGCACCGAAG